RNAcentral lists this ribosomal RNA (1400 nucleotides) under metagenome. Its description in RNAcentral is "bacterial LSU rRNA". It matches the Rfam family "Bacterial large subunit ribosomal RNA", at positions 1499 to 2912 of the family's 2925-position model. The record is from RNAcentral.
UGAAAUAGGGCGUUAAAAGAUGUAGGUAUAUUUUCUAUAGGCAAAUCCGUAGAGAAUGCUGAAGUCCAACAGUACCAGGAGGCUCCGGCCGAAUGGAUAGAGAAUGUAAGCAGACUUCCGAGAAAAUCUUCUAAGCAUAUUGAUACGGUACCCGUACCGCAAACCGACACAGGUAGUCAAGGAGAGAAUCCUGAGGUGCUCGAGUGAGUCAUGGCUAAGGAACUAGGCAAAUUAAACCUGUAACUUCGGGAAAAGGGUUGCCUCUCUUUAGCAAUAAAGAAGGUCGCAGAGAAAUGGCCCAGGCGACUGUUUAACAAAAACACAUGGCUAUGCGAAAUCGUAAGAUGAAGUAUAUGGCCUGACACCUGCCCGGUGCUGGAAGGUUAAGGGGGGAAGUUAGUCGCAAGGCGAAGCUUUGUACUGAAGCCCCAGUAAACGUCGGCCGUAACUAUAACGGUCCUAAGGUAGCGAAAUUCCUUGUCGGGUAAGUUCCGACCUGCACGAAUGGUGUAACGAUCUGGGCACUGUCUCAGCCAUGAGCUCGGUGAAAUUGUAGUCACGGUGAAGAUGCCGUGUACCCGUCACGGGACGGAAAGACCCCAUGCACCUUUACUAUAGCUUCGCAUUGACAUUGGGUAGAUGAUGUGUAGGAUAGGUGGGAGGCGUUGAUCCUGUGCCGCUAGGUAUAGGGGAGCCAACGGUGAAAUACCACCCUUUAUUUAUCUGAUGUCUAAUCCGCAAGACCUGCGGAGACAGUGCGUGGUGGGUAGUUUGACUGGGGGUGUCGCCUCCGAAAGUGUAUCGGAGGCUUUCAAAGGUAUGCUCAAUACGCUUGGUAACCGUAUGUGGAGUGCAAUAGCAUAAGCAUGCUUGACUGUGAGACUGACAAGUCGAGCAGGGUCGAAAGACGGAUAUAGUGAUCCGGUGGUUCUGUAUGGAAGGGCCAUCGCUCAAAGGAUAAAAGGUACGCUGGGAUAACAGGCUGAUCUCCCCCAAGAGCUCACAUCGACGGGGAGGUUUGGCACCUCGAUGUCGGCUCGUCACAUCCUGGGGCUGGAGAAGGUCCCAAGGGUUAGGCUGUUCGCCUAUUAAAGUGGCACGCGAGCUGGGUUCAGAACGUCGUGAGACAGUUCGGUCCCUAUCUGUGAUGGGCGUAGGAAGUUUGAGAGGAUCUGACCUUAGUACGAGAGGACCGGGUUGGACCAACCGCUGGUGUACCGGUUGUGGCGUCAGCUGCAUCGCCGGGUAGCUACGUUGGGACGAGAUAAGCGCUGAAAGCAUCUAAGCGCGAAACUCACCUCAAGAUGAGACUUCCAUUAAGGGACGUCAGAGACUAUGACGUUGAUAGGCUGCAGGUGUAAAGGCAGAAAUGUCAAAGCUGAGCAGUACUAAUUACCCAA